UGACCUCGGAUCAGGUAGGAAUACCCGCUGAACUUAAGCAUAUCAAUAAGCGGAGGAAAAGAAACCAACAGGGAUUGCCCCAGUAACGGCGAGUGAAGCGGCAACAGCUCAAAUUUGAAAUCUGGCCCCCAGGGCCCGAGUUGUAAUUUGCAGAGGAUGCUUUGGGCGCGGUGCCUUCCGAGUUCCCUGGAACGGGACGCCAUAGAGGGUGAGAGCCCCGUAGGUUGGACACCAAGCCUGUGUAAAGCUCCUUCGA
RNAcentral lists this non-coding RNA (256 nucleotides) under Colletotrichum orbiculare MAFF 240422. RNAcentral describes it as "Eukaryotic large subunit ribosomal RNA". It matches the Rfam family "Eukaryotic large subunit ribosomal RNA", at positions 1 to 260 of the family's 3401-position model. Lineage: Eukaryota; Fungi; Ascomycota; Sordariomycetes; Glomerellales; Glomerellaceae. The record is from Rfam by way of RNAcentral.